This 274-nucleotide ribosomal RNA is filed under the name uncultured bacterium. Its description in RNAcentral is "partial 16S ribosomal RNA". It matches the Rfam family "Bacterial small subunit ribosomal RNA", at positions 523 to 796 of the family's 1533-position model. The record is from RNAcentral.
AUACGGAGGGUGCAAGCGUUAUCCGGAUUUACUGGGUUUAAAGGGUACGCAGGCGGUAAUUUAAGUCAGUGGUGAAAGCCUACAGCUCAACUGUAGAACUGCCAUUGAAACUGAAUUACUUGAGUAUGGUAGAGGUAGGCGGAAUACAACAUGUAGCGGUGAAAUGCAUAGAUAUGUUGUAGAACACCGAUUGCGAAGGCAGCUUACUAAACCAUUACUGACGCUCAUGUACGAAAGCGUGGGGGGCGAACAGGAUUAGAAACCCUAGUAGUCC